Molecule: ribosomal RNA, 404 nt
Filed under: Verrucomicrobiota bacterium
Lineage: Bacteria; Pseudomonadati; Verrucomicrobiota
Description: Verrucomicrobia bacterium partial 16S ribosomal RNA
Rfam family: Bacterial small subunit ribosomal RNA
Source: RNAcentral
UGGGGAAUAUUGCACAAUGGGGGAAACCCUGAUGCAGCGACGCCGCGUGAGCGAAGAAGGCUUUCGAGUCGUAAAGCUCUGUCCUAUGAGAAGAUAAUGACGGUAUCAUAGGAGGAAGCCCUGGCUAAAUACGUGCCAGCAGCCGCGGUAAUACGUAUGGGGCGAGCGUUGUCCGGAAUUACUGGGCGUAAAGAGCUCGUAGGCGGUUUGUCACGUCGUCUGUGAAAUCCUAGGGCUUAACCCUGGACGUGCAGGCGAUACGGGCUGACUUGAGUACUACAGGGGAGACUGGAAUUUCUGGUGUAGCGGUGGAAUGCACAGAUAUCAGGAAGAACACCGAUGACGAAGGCAGGUCUCUGGGUAGUAACUGACGCUGGGGGGCGAAAGCAUGGGUAGCGAACAGG